CUUUACUGUAAGUUAGAGUGCAAGUGCAUGGCAUACUAUACAGUACACACCACAUUACCAUUUAGUGUGUUCUCUGAGAGAGAGGGGUGCAUGCUAUACGUUCAUACUAGCCGGGAGGGGGAGGGGGGUACUGUAUGUGUGGCAGUAACCAGCACCUGGAGACAGAGGGAGAUGGACGGAGGUUGAGAACGAUGGGGAUUCAUAGAGUAGGAUGAUAGAUGGACGGAGGUUGAGAACGAUGGGGAUGCAUAGAGUAGGAUGAUAGAUGGACGGAGGUUGAGAACGAUGGGGAUGCAUAGAGUAGGAUGAUAGAUGGACGGAGGUUGAGAACGAUGGGGAUGCAUAGAGUAGGAUGAUAGAUGGACGGCGGUUGAGAACGAUGGGGAUGCAUAGAGUAGGAUGAUAGAUGGACGGCGGUUGAGAACGAUGGGGAUGCAUAGAGUAGGAUGAUAUAUGGACGGAGGUUGAGAACGAUGGGGAUGCAUAGAGUAGGAUGAUAUAUGGACGGAGGUUGAGAACGAUGGGGAUGCAUAGAGUAGGAUGAUAGAUGGACGGCGGUUGAGAACGAUGGGGAUGCAUAGAGUAGGAUGAUAGAUGGACCGAGGUUGAGAACAAUGGGGAUGCAUAGAGUAGGAUGAUAGAUGGACGGAGGUUGAGAACGAUGGGGAUGCAUAGAGUAGGAUGAUAGAUGGACGGAGGUUGAGAACGAUGGGGAUGCAUUGGAGUAGGAUGAUAGAUGGACGGCGGUUGAGAACAAUGGGGAUGCAAAGAGUAGGAUGAUAGAUGGAUGCGGAGGAAUGUUUCUGCCAUAAAGUGCCCAACCUUCCACAUACUCCUGAUGUGGAAGUCAUCUGUUUGAAUACAACGCCCCUUCAACAACAAUAUGAGCUACCACACCAACCCUUCCACAUGCGUGCGCAGAUAUGAUCAACGUUAUAAAAUAGACUGCCAGCCAUUUGCGUGGUGCAAGUGAUUUAGCCUAUAGAUUGAACAGAUGGACGGACAUACAGACAUGUACUGUAGACAGACAGUGUUUGUGCAGUAUGUUUCCAGUGGAGACUAGCUGACUUGCUGUUCACUGUUGCUGCUGUUGCAUAUGGGGACUGGAGCUGGGAGAGAGCAGGGCAUUGUGGGAGUAGUCUGGUUCUAGUUGGUUGGCUCUGGCUCCAGCAGGCAGCCAUGGCCCAGCCACGCUCUGACAGCAGAAAGAGAGAGAGGGAAGGAGAAAGAGAGGGCCUGUAAUUAGCACCAGGGUCUGUCUUCCGCAUUCCACAUCUGUAACUUACAGAGUGUAGUGGACUGCCUGCCUGCCUGCCUACCUGCUUGCAUGUCUGUCUGCUGAGCCGACAGAGCGUCCAGCUCCCUGCCACAAUACCUUGUCUUCCCUUCCCUCCACUGGCUGAGCAUAUCCAGACCCUCUCUCUCUCUCUAUGCCCCCCUCUCUCUCUCUCUCUCUCUCUCUAUGCCUCUCUCUCUCUCUCUAUGCCUCUCUCUCUCUCUCUAUGCCCCUCUCUCUCUAUGCCUCUCUCUCUCUCUCUCUCUCUCUCUCUCUCUCUCUCUCUCUCUCUCUAUGCCUCUCUCUCUCCCUCUCUCUCUGCCUCUCCCUCUCAGUUCAAUUUAAGGGACUUAAUUGGCAUAGGAAAUGUCUCUCUCUCUCUCGCUCUCUCUCUCUCUGCGUGUGUGUUCGUCUUGCUAUAUCCAUUUGUGACUCCUUCUCUGUGAGCACGAGAUUUCUCUCAAUGCUUCCAGCAUUUCCC
Oncorhynchus tshawytscha (Chinook salmon) is the source of this 1757-nucleotide long non-coding RNA. NCBI's taxonomy places the organism in Eukaryota, Metazoa, Chordata, Actinopteri, Salmoniformes, Salmonidae. The record is from Ensembl.